RNAcentral lists this ribosomal RNA (322 nucleotides) under uncultured eukaryote. RNAcentral describes it as "partial 18S ribosomal RNA". It matches the Rfam family "Eukaryotic small subunit ribosomal RNA", at positions 1470 to 1796 of the family's 1831-position model. The record is from RNAcentral.
CCCUUAGAUGUUCUGGGCCGCACGCGUGCUACACUGAGUAAUUCAAUGGGUAAGGGAACGCUAGAGCAUUACCUAAUCUUGAAAUUUGCUCGUGAUGGGGAUCGACGGUUGCAAUUUUCCGUCGUGAACGAGGAAUACCUUGUAGGCGCAUGUCAUCAUCAUGCGCCGAAUACGUCCCUGCCCUUUGUACACACCGCCCGUCGCUCCUACCGAUUGAGUGAUCCGGUGAGGCUCUGGGACCUGGACGGAAAGAGCGUUUCGCUUGUUCUGUUUGGGAAACUUGGUCGAACCUUAUCAUUUAGAGGUAGGAGAAGUCGUAACA